Coturnix japonica (Japanese quail) is the source of this 13653-nucleotide non-coding RNA. Lineage: Eukaryota; Metazoa; Chordata; Aves; Galliformes; Phasianidae. The record is from RefSeq and is a predicted model, not a curated record.
AAAAGAUCUUUAAGAUCAUCUAGUCCAACCAUCCAACUUCUUCCAAUACUGCCCACUAAACCACGUCCCUAAGCUCACUCUACAUCUACAACUCACUCUCUUAUAUGGAAAGUCUUCUCAGAGGGCUGUGAACAUGAGGGUGGCUCUCAGAGAGUUCUCUGCUGGAGCUUCUUCCCAGCCCCAUACAUUGCUGGGAGGAGGUUUGGGUGAUGCUAAUGGAAAGAUAUGUGAGCUAUCUUAGAAUGGGUAAGUGGUUGCUGAAGGGAUGUCAUUGUGAGCAGCCAAAGAGGAGGCACCAUCUGCUCUGUCACAGGUAAACACCACCCUGCACCAAACCAGGGUGAUUUCCCUUCAACCUGAGGUGUGAGGCCAGCAGUCUCAAACUGUAAUUCUCACAAUAUUACUUCCACCGAUGAGACAAGGGCAUUAGGGGCACUGCCACUUAGGCAAGAAAUCUUUAAGUGUAGCUGCAAGUUGCCUGUUUUAAUGACAACAAACCCUAGUGGUGAGGAAGAGGGGACAGGUAGCAACACUGAUACUGUGUAGUAUAAUGUAAUAGCAGAUAUAAAUGUGACUCAUUCUAGCCAGAGGCUUUAGAAUGGGAAGUUGGAUAAAAGAUAUAAAAGAAAUGGGAUUUAUUUUUUUCCAUCUUAGCAAAGGUCACUGCCAGGAAUAGCAUGGGAAAUAAUUAAUGGAGGAAGAAAUAUUCUCCUUCAGAUGAGAAGUAUUGUCUUGCUCUGCAGUUCUGUUCCCAUACAGGGGUUCUGGUAACAAACAUCAGCCAGCAUGCAGGGCUUUUUCCCUGGUGCUGCUGAUGGCACUGCCUGCUCCGUGCUCAUCCUGCAGAGACGUGGGAGGCUGUGACUGAUGCGCUGUGCCGGCAGCACUGCCAAGUGCAGACCACAGUGUGACCUGAAUGCUGUGCAGGAGUGUGGUGCUGCACUUUAAUUCCUUCACCUUGGAGUGGAAAUGGGCUUGCUCUCAGUGCUCCCAUGCAACAGAGCAAAAACCUAUUACAGGAAAGCUACAAAGAGCAGAGGUAAGCUCUUACCCACAUUUUCCACUGGUGUUACUCGCUCUAGAGAGUCAGCUGAUUUCGGCCUGGUUCCCAGACUGCUUUUUGGUGUUCAUCCAAGAUGAGACUGCAUUGGGCUUUCCUACCCCCAAAUGGGCUAACUGAAGUCAAGGAUUGACCUCAGAUGCACGGGUGCUCCUCCACCUCAUCCUAAAAUGGGGUCAGGCGAGGGAACAACCCCAGACCAGCGGCCCUUCACUCUCCCAAAAAGAGCCAUUCGAGGAUACUGGGUCUCAGUCUAGAUCUGACUUUCACAGCUGACCCCUUUCUGUGAAGUGAUAAAAUCCUGCUGCAGAAAGCUUUCAAGCAAUUCAGAGGUGUGGCCAUACAUAAAUGCUGGGACUCUGGACGGCAGUGCUCAUAAUACAAUUCAGUGUGGAACACUUGGGAAACAAAAAUCAGUCCCAUCCAGGCGAUCUGUCACUUGCAUGUUUUAAUGUUGAUGUGAGGUUUGGCCCUUUCACUCUGCUUACUUUCUCACUUUCUGAGGCGCGUGUUGCUCUUCUAGCCACCUUCUCAUGGUCAUGAGAUUUGAGGUCACGCACUGUCUUACCUGAGGAUUUCACAGCUGCUGCUCCUAGAGAUGGAUAUUAGGAGACAUUUAUUCUCAGAAAGAGUGGUGAGGCAGUGGCGCAGGCUGCCCAGGGAGGUGGUGGAGUCACCAUCCCUGGAGGUGCUCAAAAAACGUGGAGGUGUGGCACUGAGGGACUUAGUGGACAUGGUGGGGGUGAGUUAGUGGUUAGACUUGAUGGUCUUAGUGGUCAUUUCCAACCUUAACGAUCCUAUGAGGUUCCACAUGGUGCAGAUGUGAACGGUUCAGUUAUUUAGGUAGUAAAGCAGCUGUUUGGCUUGGCUGAGCAGUUCUAUUACUCUUCUUUGAAUACUGCUGAUCAACCCGCUUCAACCCACUGGCCCUUCCCUAACCUUCCCCUUUUCCAUACCCUUACUGUGCAUACACACAGACAAAUAAUGUGUGCUAUGUGUUAUGUAUGUAUGUGUGUGUGUGUGUGUGGGCAGCUGUGCCUGCUGUAGGGAUUUCCUCCCAAACAAUACCUGUUGUGCUAGCCAUUGCAGUUCUAUUGGUUCCCAUGCUCAGAGCAGUUUGAGUUUCCUGCUGGCUCAGCAGCAAGACUUUCAGAGCUUUUUAUACUUAUUCUUCUCUGGGAGCCAAACAGAGGAGUGCAGUUUGCCUAUGAAUAGAGAGCUGACGGGGCAGGCUGCAGGAAGCUUGCCUACAAACCGUGUGAACCUCUCAAGGGGAGGAAGGGGCACAAGGCUGCUGGCUGGGCUCGGCGAGGCACUGCUGCAGUCCUUGCCUUGCACACCCGUCAUCAGCAUGUGGGGCUGUGGUGCUCCUGCUCUAAGGGAGGGGAAAUAGGUGUGAGAUGGAAAGGGAAAGAAUGGAAAGAGAGAAUGGUAGAAGCAAUGCAGAGAGGGGUUGGAGAGUAGAAAAGAGUGAGGAAGCUUGAUAUUUUGGGGUUUUGUUUUUUUUUGUUUUUUGUUUUUUUUUGUUGUUUUUUUUUUUUUUGCAUGAAACCGUGUACAUGGCCUCCUUGCAUAGAGCAUAUCCACUGCACCUUGUGAUGCCCUCUGCUCCUGGCUCAACAGAAGCUCUGUUUAAAUUGCAUGUGACCGAUGACUGUAGUGCCUUUGUCUGUUUUCAAGGCCUCUUGUUUCUUGUUUUAAGAUCAAAUGUUUCUUUGCCUACAGCCCCUGCAAACCCCAACAGCUUACUGCUGAGCUGACAUGUUCUGCUCUGGGUAUCUGUCUUCAGCUGAAUGUGUUUGGGAAGCUUCAGCAAAUGUGUUUUUGCUUGCUUACAAGAAAGAGAUGUGAGAAACAUUUUUUUCCCUCCCUUCAUAUUCAAACAUGUUCUAAAAAUGAUCAGUUGAGAAACUCCAGCACUUUCUGCCUUUGGAGCAGAGACCUGAGAUUUGGCAAAUAUCUGGAAUGUGCCUUUGGUUGUUCUUCACAGGGAAAAAAAAAAAAAGUUGAGCUAAGAAACCUUAGAAAAAAACCAACAGCCUCAGAUCUCAGGCACUCAACAGAAACUUCUGAGAGGCAGCGGCUGGAUUCUCUGAAGGCGCCCGCUCAGUGGAGAUUUGUUCAAGUCUGGAGGCUGAAUCACUGAUGAGAGGCUGGGAGAAGUGCUGCAGCCUCAUGCUGCAGGUGUGGAGCUGCAGCUCUUUGAAUUUGUUUUUCCACACUGACAGGGAUGCUGCAGUGCUGAGGCAGAGGCUGGAGAUGCUCUCAGAAUACCAUGCGUCUAGCAGAGAAGAGAUGCAACAGUCAUGGAGGUUUCUGCCAUGUGGGAGCUCUCUUUUGUCAGCAAAUACUUGGGGAACCCACUGGUAAGGGCUGUCAGUCACUCCUGCCUGCUCCCUCAGCAGAAGCUGAUGGUCUGUCAGCACUCAGUUCAUCUGCUUUUCAAGCACUGUGGAAUUAACAGGGGAAAACAAGAGCCAGCGCUGCUGGUGAGUCCCACCACUGCUGGGUGAUGCAUCGUGGCGUUCCUGCAGCUUUGUUUCAGUUCAUUCCCUGCAAAUUGAGGAAAUAACACAAGCCUAAGGCAAGCUGAAAGUAUGGGAAGUCUGUAGAGUCAGGCACUCAGCAGUUGGGAAAUACUUGCUUUAAAACUGCCCUUGCCAUCUGAGUGCAGCUCCUGUUUGCAUAGCCAUUGUGAUAGGGUUGCUUUUAGCUGCAGGAUCAAAGCUGAAAGUAAUGCCUCCUAUUUUAUUUUGCUGGCACACGGUGUCAGAUGCGGAUGUUGGUGCUAUGGCAGUAGGGGUUGAACUUGGCCACAGGUAGGAAAGCUUCCGACAGUCACAAAGGCAGAUUCCGGUUGCCUGGCUAAGUGUCAGUGCUGGUCUCUGAAGACUGAGGCACUUAAUCUCUCUAUUUGAACAGAAAAAGCUAACAUAUAUCUUGCUAAUCUUAUUCUGGGAGACAGCUGAAUUAUUUUAGCUUAAAAUUACCAAAAGAGCCUGCCUGAGGCACAUUUCCAGCACAGAGUUUCUCAGCACGAGCAGCUGAGCUUUGGCAGAUCUCUAAGUAAGGGAAAACAGUCAUUAAUGGAGGCGUUAAGAAACUCUCACUGCAGGCAGAAUGGCAAACUGGCUCUGUGGAUGGCUCCAGAAUGAAGGAUGUACAUAUGCUCAUAGCAUCCUUUCUCUGUGACUCUGGGUAGCUGAUUGGUGCUGGCAAGCCAUGGUAAAGCAUGAAGAGAAAUGUGGGAUUUCUCUUUCCCUCACAUAUCUGGGAAAAGUAAAGGGAAGAACUUGAAACGUGUAUCCUAAGCUGUUUCUGGUAGCUACUUCAAGAAGACCAGACCCUGCGCAGUGGCUCUUCUUGAAGGAGAACCUCUUGCACCCACUGCUGAUCCCUGGUAAUCCCCUCACGUGGACAGAGCCCACCUCUGCUCCCAGGGGCACCCAGAUGCUACAUGACAGGGACACUCCCCUUCAAGCUGACAACAUCCAAUGAUUUUAUCAUUCUCUAAGGGAUUUACUCACCCAAACUGUAAUAUUUAGUUAUUUAUCUUUAGUGAUUCUGUUGUUAUUCUUUACUGAAUGCUGCCCAGUUUGCUAUUGUCUUUUUUGGCAUGCGAGUGCCUGCAAGUUGUUUUCUCUGUUCAGAGAUUUCUCCAAAUACUUUUCCCUGCACUGCCCAUGUUCCAGGUGGGAGCUUUUUUGAUGCUGUUCUCCUUCUCAAUCCCCCAUCUCAGAAGGAUCAUUUAUGAGACUAAAGUCAUAACAAGAAACCACAGCUCAGUCAUUCUCCCCUUCCUCAUUACUAAAUCCAAAACAAUCCUUUUGUAAAAAGAAAUGCUUUGCAGGUUCAUAUUCCAUCAGCCUGGGAAACAAUUUCUUCCCAUAUACAGCUGCACAGAGCACAGUGGUGAGGUGCACGCAGAGGGCUGACAGAAGGACCUGGCCUCCCAGCCAGGGGAAGGCAGAGGCACAGGGUCUCUAGGCAGCUCCUGUUGCAUUGCCCUAAGCAGGGGACUGGGAGCUGCUCCGAAACUGCAGAAAAUAUCUGAUCCACGCAGUUCUCCUGUGGCUGCCAUGCUGAGUUUUCUCUUUCUGAGAUCUGAAUCCUUUAAAGCUCUGUUUGCAGAGGUGAAUGAAAAUGAGCUAGAGCCUUUGGAGAGACCUGGAAGCCAUUUGGUGCAGAACAAUUUCAGAAAUCUGCCAAUGAAUGCAAGCUUCUUUUUAACUGAAAGUAACACGUACAUUUAGAGAGCAGAGCACGCAAGUACAUUCACAAUGGCUGCUAUCAGCAACUCUGGCACUUUCUCUGAGCAUUAAGUCCUGGUCCUGGAAAUUGCUGCUGCCCCUCAGGCUUCUGUCCAUCUCUGUUCAGUUCCCUGCAGCAUUUAAGCCCCAUUAAGUGCAUACAUUUUCUUUGGCUAUUCAACUCCAGCCACUUUUGGGAAGAAAUUGGCCAGAAUCCUUGAACCUAAAAUAAUCAAGUGUCUGUCUUUCCAUUGAAAAGGAUCCCAUUUAUCUGACAAGCAGUGCAAAAUGCAAUAGGUAAUUCAGUGCAAGCACUCUCCAAGAAACCUGUUGUUGCAAAACCAGGCAAGUGGUUUGCGCAGAAGCAGAUAAGGUACUUUAGGAAGCCCAGGUUGUUGCGCUGAAUGUCAAUAUAUUUGGUUUCAUAAUGUGUGUGACUUUUAUUAUCAGGCUCUUGGUUUCUACCACUCUCUUUAGAAAUAUGCCACCAUCAGCUGCUGCACAGGGAGUGUGGCCUUUCAGAUGCUCCUUCUGCAAGUAUCUGUCAUGCUCCCAGAGAAAUGUCUUUGUUCCGGGUUGUUCUGAGCAAGAGAAUUAAAAAUCAAACUGGAGAUGGUGGCCAGCACAAAGAACCAGCCAAAGUUAUUUUAAUGAAUAUCUCUCCAUACCUGCCAAUCCACCCUCCCCUGCAGGAAAAACAACUCUUGAAUGAAUAGAGCAUAUGGCAAGGAAGAUAGAGCAUCCAUGCCAAGUUUGUCUUUGCCUUAGCAGAACUGGCUGUAAGAUGCUGAAUCUGCAGAUCUUCUCUUGGAACAUGCUCCUAGGGAGAAAAAGGAGGCACUUUCUCGCUGCUGCUUUAGUCUGGCUCCUGCAGUCUCUCUGUUCGAGUCCUCAGUGUGCAGGACAUUGCUGUGGUUGUAGCUCUUGGACUCACCUUGUUGCCCGCCAGUGUCUGUGUCACUGGGAGUAUGGGAGCACCACCAUAUUGUUGCUGCCUAGAAGUGAGGUGUUCAGCCCAAGUCCCUUCACCAUGACUUGCUCUCCAGUCAGGAGGCAGCCACCUACCUCCACAGGUUAUUCACCUGAUCCUAAAAUAGGUGUGAGAGAUGCCUUCCUCUCUCCAUCAGAAACCUCUGGAUGCUGGCUCAGCCUGUGGCCAGCCCUCACAGCUUGGUCUGUCUGUGCACAGCAUGGCCAGCUCAGCCCCACUAGAGGAGGUUCAUGGUGGACGAGUUGGUGGUUCACCCUGGAGCAGUGUGGGUAUAUGGGACCUUGCUACUCCUGCUCUGAAGGAUUUAACAUGUUACAGAGGAACCAUACUUUUGGUGCUCCACAGUAGUGUAUGUCUCUAGAGUUACAAUUGAGGUUUGAGUGGUUAAAUUUAGAAGAUAGGCAACUGAGACCCUUACUGGACCUAUCUCUGCUGGGACUGAAGCUAUGUAAAUGUUUGUGUUCUUUCAGACCUGAGAGGAGAGGCCACUGUUCCACCUGCAUUCAUGCUAUGAAGGGACACCAUGGGCCAGAAGAGUGUUCUCCUCUCCCAGAACCUUCUCCAGCAGUUUGGCCUGGAGAUGAAGUCCCCACAUGUCAGGGAGGCCUCUCACUGUGGGCAGUGAGGUCUCUGUUUCCAGAAGGAUGUUGCUCACAUUUGGAGAACUCCAGCAGGGGCAGGCAGGACUCUGGAGAACUGAACAACUCUUCAUGGAGAUGGAAGUUCAGAGCUGUCCUUCAAAAUGGCUUCAGCUCAUGCUGCAGCAGCGCUGUAUGUGCUUGGGGUGGAGGAGGCCACAGCUCACUGCAGUCAGAGGAAAUGGAGAAAAGCUUGAUCUGAGCUCAGAAUGCAGCACAGUUCAGGCUGAUUUGAAAUAGAAAUUCUUACAGCUGGUUGCUGGAUCCAGGGAGGACGCAGUAAGACGUCUCUGAUUAUCUCCUGGAGAAGCCACAGAUGACUGAUGACUAUUAAAUCACUCUUUCACCGUGAAUGGCACAUGGCGGUGGGAUCUGCACCGGAGGCUGUUGCAUCACACAUCGUGGUUUCAGCAGAGCUUUGCAGAAAAAAAAAAUGAAAGUAAACUGUGUUAUUUUGAGCCUGAGCAGUGAGUGAGUUCUCAGUAUCUAAAUGAGAGCUUUUAGAGUCAGCUCCAGGUGUUGCAGGAAGUGGUGGAGGUGACUCAGUAAAUGUCACACUUCCCUCCAAGUCAGUUGUGCUGUCCAAAAAUAACACUCCAUAGGCAUCUGGCUGCUCAGCAUGGCCCUGCUGUUUUUGUGGCACUCAAAACACUCCUGCUUGGCACUUUCCUGGUUUUGCACCACCUUCCCUGUCACAAGUGUUUGCCUUUAUCUUCCUGUCUUUGUUCUUCCCUGUAAAGCCAAAGACACCACUAUUUAAGUUCUGCACAUCUCUGAAAACAAGCAUUAAUCCCUUUCAUCCUCAUUCCAUAGCUUUGAUGCAUUUUCUUAAAUAUUUAUGCCCCUUGCUUGACCGCUGUUUUCUCUCCUGCUUCAGCUCAAUACGUUUCUCACUGCAGCUGCCCUGUUAAAGCAUUGCUAAGGGCACUGACCACACACAGGCUUAAGCAGACAGACAGCAGUGCAAUGGAAAAGAGACCUUUUGUAUCUGGUGGUGUGGGCUGUCCCAGGACAGCACCAGAUGGAAAGAGAAAAGAAGCCAGGAAUAUUGAGAAGCCCCAAAGAUUGUGUUAGGAUACAAGAGAAAGUAUGAGCAUGUCAUCCCAAAUCCUUCAUCCCUGCCAGCUUAGGAAACAUGAAUGGGCCCACAGCUGGAGAACUGUGUAUGUUGGAGCAUCAGCUUUUGGUGUAUGAGUCAGCUACAGGCUGAGAGUGCCAGGUUGGUGGAGGUGUUUGGAUCUUUGCUGUUCUUUAUGGACAAGUCUCAUAAAUUUCUGCAACCUCUGCUUGGUUUGGAUUUUGUAAAUUGAUCUGUAAAUUCAGCUCUGUUCACUGGGGGAUGCUCUCCAGAGCAAACCUUUUUCUUGCUUCCACAUACUCUGCUUUGAGUCACCUCAUGGGAUGGUCUCAGAGUGCUUGGACUAGAUGCAUUGUGCAGGAGAACAAAAUGGAAAGUGCUCUACAGGAUCACACUGACUGUUAGUAGCGCCAUACUGCAGUUAGCCCAAAGAAAACCCCUAUGUGCUGUGUGGAUGUCAGGCCCUCAGCCCCAGUGCUUUGUGACAGACUCAUGCCCACACCAGGCGUGCAGCCUCUGGCCGCAAUGCGGUGGGUGCCUCAGGGCUGAGUGUUGGAGGACAGGCACAGGGCAUGACCCCAAGGCACAGGUGUUUUUUCUGGAAUUCAUACAUCACGGGCUGUGGAGUUUUCAUAUGUGGAUCAGAUGGGUUGUCUUAAGCACCAAGUACAGAAAAUAGAGGCUGUUUUCAUUCUUCCUUGUCCUGUGGAGACUAUUUGUAGGUGUCUCUGUUUUGUGUUGAAUUUCUUUGCACAGACUUCCAAAGCCCCUGUUGUUCUGCAGUAGAAGUUCCUGCCUUUUCAUUGACUUAAACGAAGGAGCCCUUUGGAGAGUGAUCUCAUCUGGAUCUUAAAUACUCAGAAGCAUUUGAUCAUAAGUUUUGGAUGUCUUCAGGGCCUGAUUUGCUGAUUUACAAAGCUUACGUUCCUGCUCUUCAAAACUUGUGAAAUAUGGAUUCAAUUUAUGUAUGGCUGAGAGGGGUGCUGACAUGCUCUAAGGAUUUUGUUUUGUUUUUAAUGGUGUCUUUAUAAUUUCCGAGUUUCUGGGACUUUUCACUGGUUCUUUCAAGCAGACCCACGUGGCUUAUGAGGAAUGUGCUGCAAUGGAGGGGGCAGAUUUCUCUGGUCAAAGCAGUGCAGCUUGCCAGGGACUGCACAGCAGCAUGCCUGCACAAGGCCCUGCAGUUUCCUUCUGGGCUGGGCAGCCAUGGCUAGUGAUGAUUCAGUGAUACUGAGCUGGGCGGUAAGUUCUCACAGGGAUGUGCAAGGGAGCCAGAGGCAGUGAGAUGCAAUGGGUAAUGGGCUGAGGCUGCUGUCCUGCAGAACUGGUAGGACUCCUGGGGCUGUGGCAGGGUCUAGAAGCCUUCUGUGGGGCAUAAGGAGCACCAAAGCACUUCUGACUGCAUUCCUCUGGGUGAGCAAGCUGUGUGCUGGGCUGAUGGAGCAAAGCUUCAUGCUGUCCUGUGGACCACCAUGGAGUUUUCAAGGCAACAUGGAUGGCGUGGAGGUACCCAAGUACGUGUAGUGGCUCUGAGACCUCCCCAGUGGCCGUGUCUGCUGUACUUGUGGCAGGUAUAACACUACUUUAGCAGAGCUUUGCAUAAUUUCUCGAAGGGAAGGACUUAGCAGGACAAGAAAAGAGGAAAUAAUGCAAAUGCCUUCCUUUAUUUUUAUUUUUUUGUUAGGGCAGCCAUAUGCUCACCCUGCCUCCAUUCACUCCAGCAGCUGCAUGUGGUAGGCACAGUGACCGGAAGCUGCGGUCCAGAUGUGUGUGUGUAAAUGAUGCAAAGUCUGGAAAAUAACAAACAUGAGCUCUGAAAGCAGGGGCACGGCUGUUACUGCACGCGCUGUAAUUCAGGAACUAACAGAUGUCCCCAAGCUUCGUGCCUGGCCCAAAAGGGACACAAGAAGGGAACUGGUUCAGGGUUUAUGCACAGCUGCGCGGAUCAGAUGACACUGUCAGCUGAACCUGCACCUAGCCAGUCCUGAUUUAUCAGAGCAGGAACCCUGACCUUUAUUUGGGCACAGAAAUACCAUCUUGGAAAGCUCUGCUAAGAAAGACAGCAAGGGCCAUAAGAAUCCAUGGCAUUUCUCUAAAGAAGAGUCUGAUUACAAACUGACAUGUGCAGCCCUCCAUGAUUGCGUGCUUCUCACUGGACUUUGCCGGAAGCAAUCCCAAAGGAUGUUUUCCAGGGGCCAGGCUCAUGGGAUAUUUAGCAUUUCCACUUAUGUUUAUCCAGGGGUGACAAGCACUGCUACACGAUGGUCUUGUCCCUGACUCUGCAUGGUGGGGGCUCAGGCUUAUGGUAGUCAGUGGCUGUUGGGGGGCCAGCACAGAAUGAUCUGGCAGCUGCCAUUGGGUCCUGUGUCAUGAAACCACUGUACGUUGGCAGCCUCAGCUCAACAGAGCAAGCCAGGACAUUUUUCUCAUUCUAACUUGGAACACAGAACCUGAGCCUGAGCUCUGCUUUCACAUGGCCAAAGAUAGCUCUGCAGAUCUGCAUAGCCAGGACUUGACCAUAUUUCAAAACAUGUCUGAAAGGGGGAAGUGGAGAACCCCCUGUGGAUUUCCUUUCAACCUCAUCUUCCUGGGUUGGGCAAAUGAUGUUCAGGACCGUUAUGGCUGCAGCUGAGCUCUGAACACACACAGCCAGGGCACUGAUGCCAUGCAGACAGGGCGCUGGGUUUUCUCCCAUCACCUCAGUGAGAUGGGGAAGGAAAAUAGGCUGCAGCCCGGAUUGUACUGUCAGGUCUGACCAGGGGAGAGUGCUUUCUUUUAGGCAAAGGCAUUGCUUAGAAGUUACCUAUUCACAAAUGCUCUUCUUCUUUCAAAGUCAUAGAAUCAUAAAGGUUGGAGAAGACCACCUAGGAUCAUCUAGUCCAAUCACCAAUCUAUCACCAUCAUGCCCACUAAACUGUGCUACUCGAUGCCACAAGUCUCUACGGUAAUUUUCCUUGCCUACUGUGUAAAGCAACAGGGACUUUCUGUUUGCAGGGAGAAGGAAACAUAAGUUGGUGGCUAAUGCUCAGAAGUGGCAGCUUGGAGAUACAGCUCCCAUUAACCUGCAAGCACUGCCUUGCAGAGUUCUAAUUAUGGGCAGCUCUUAAUACCUCGUGGGUUUUUGUCCUCAAAAUGCACUGGUUAAGGCUGAGAAUGAAUCCUGAAAGACAAGGCAUUCAGGGGUACCUCAGCAGCCUCUCUGCAGAGUAGACCAAUGUUGUGCAAUGCUUAUCUGCAGAAAUCUGCAACUGGUUCUCUGGAGAUGGGAGCUCAAGGAGCAUGCUGUUUGCAGCAAGGCCAGCUCUGUGGCGGUUGCCCCAUGGGAACUGUAGUUUCCCUGCCAAACAUGACUUGGUUCAAGACCUUUCUCUCAACAUUUGCAGCAAUGUGCAUACCCUCAAAUUUCAGUUUUGUAAUUUUAGAAAGCGCAGCAAAAAGCCCCUCAGAAGAGCAGCCACCCAGCUGCAUGGAUGGCCAUAAGGAAAUUGGUUAAACCAGGAAAUGGAACAACAAGGAGAAGGUGCCAAGGUUAGAGACCAUAUAAUUUAUUUGCCACAGGGCAUGUUCUUCCACUUGCACACAUUUCCGUUUCCAUGGUAUCCUACUGUCCUACUCUGUGGAGUUGUGGUGUAUGACCAUGGACCUUAGUUUCCUCAGAUGGUCCUCUUUUUCCCUUGCUUGUCCUGGAGAUCCUGAAAUGCAGCGGUACCUGCACUGUUGUGUCAUUAAUGCAGCCAGUUCUUAAUGACCCAAUGAUAUUUACUUAGAUCCUGUGGCCCCACAGGGGAAAAAACGGCUCUUUUAACACUAGAAGCCUGAUGGAAAGGGUGGUUUACAAGAGUUUUUGGAAGAGAGGAAAAGUCAAAUGAGUGCAAACACCAAAGCUAUUCCCUUGCUUGAAAGGAAUACCAAGAAAACUUGCUCAGUGGGUCAUGAUGAGCUCAUUCAGUCCACUAGAUUACUGGAAAAAUCUUCCACUUUGAGAAGUAUGCAUGUGUCUGUGUUGAGUCAGAAUCUGGCAGAGCAGCUUUAGUACACAUUUUUGUUGCGAAAAAGUCCCUUUUGUCUCUUGUGAACCUCAAAAAUUUCUGGCCUGAGUAGGCUCUACAUUUCAAAGUUUUUGCACAGAAAAUGUAGGUGCUGCACUGUUGCAUUAUGUAGGCAAUGUGGUAUCUCUGGGCCUCGGGUUGGGUCCAUUUUCUUGCCUGCCACACUUUUCUCCAGUAUUGUGCAUUUCUUUAUUGCUGACCAGGCAGUUUUUAUGCAGUGUACAAAUAGCGUUGCAUGAAGACAUUGCAGGCACAUCCCUGCACACACUCACACACAGUUCACGUUUCCAGAAGAUUGCUGUAAGCAUAACAAUUUUUUUUCUGCUGAACUUCUUGGCAUAGUUCGGUGCAAAGCCGGCAGCUUUCAUACAAUGAACGCAGCCUGCAGUACGGGGGCUCAGAGAAAAUAACAAGAUCUGUGACACUGAGAAAACGCAGUCACAGACACCACAGCACUACGCUGGGAUGAGCACAGUAGCUGCAGGGAGGGGUCAUGGUCAAAUAUGCUAUUUCAAGCAAAAUCUGAGAGGAGGAUGUGUGCUUGGCCACAGGAAGAGCGUUGUCUUAGUCAGAGCAGUUAAUCAUGCAGCAUGAAGAGAAGUACGUACAGCAAGAUUUCUGUUUCCAGCAGACUUUUUCCUCCUCUGAAAUGACUUGCAUAUAUUUUCUCUUUGCUAUUUGCAGUAUGGCAGCAUCUGCGCCCAGCCUUGUUGAUGGAAAGCCAGCGGCUCCGGGCAGUGUGAGGCACGCUGCCGUCACCAAGCUAACCUCCCCAUGCCUCUUGCAGGCAGGCAGAGACAAGGAGAGAAAAAAACGUCCGGUGACGUCAAUGAAGACCACACUCUGUUGGAUAAUAUUACUGUGUGCCUCAACCGCCUACUCCCUUUAAUUUACUAGAAGCUAAGCAAGCUGUUUUGAAACCCAUAGCUUCCAGCAUCUUUGCGCCGCUCUCCCUCAACCAAAGGCUACUAAUUGUCGGGAGCUUGAAAGCUACCUGAUGCCUCGUUCAAAGCUCUGAAGCAGAGGGGAUUUCCAUGAGUAAUAAUUUCAGUCUGUGCCUGUGCAGUGCACCGUAGGCUAGAGUAAAUUGAUCCAGCUGCUUGCAAGGCUGGAUGGAAAAGUGCCCGGGGGGGCUGGAGCGCAGCACCAGAUGGAGCUGGAUGUCAUCACGUGGGGCUCCCAGCUGCUGGGCAUGCUCCAGCCUGGCUCCCAGCAGCAGCUCGGCCUGCUGGGCUGCACUGGCUUGCAGCAUGCGGUUGGGUCGCCAGUGUGUGUUGCAACAACUUCUCUUGUAAUGAAGAGGAUAAUUUUGGACUAGCCAGAACUGUUGUUGUCGUCUUUUGCUCAGCUGCAAUCUCUGUGACAACGACUUAAAAAGCUUGCGAGAGGCUGGCUGCCUCCACAAAUAACCAGAACUUGCAGGAUUAACCUGUAACCCGGGGCGGUGUAUACACACGUCCCACCAGCCAGAUGGCAGAGUUCAAAGAUCCGCUCACUUCCUGGCUGAGGUUGCACAAGUUAAUUUUUAUCCUUGUUAAAAAGAAGUAAGAAGCGAAAACAUAGCAAUAAAAUGUACGCUGCUUGCUA